Molecule: ribosomal RNA, 498 nt
Filed under: Triticum aestivum (bread wheat)
Lineage: Eukaryota; Viridiplantae; Streptophyta; Magnoliopsida; Poales; Poaceae
Description: partial small subunit ribosomal RNA
Source: RNAcentral
AUGGGACCGUUUCUCGCCCACAACCAUCUCAGUAGGGGUGAAUUGAUCACCUUCUCCUUAAGAGGACAAAGACCCAGGAUGACUGUUGUCUAUGAUGCUCUCUUUGACCAUAGAAUGCAGUUGAACGACGAUGAGACCAACAACCUGUUGGACAAACUUCCAUCCCGUGAUUACUAUGUCGGGCUGCCAUUCGUGACCCGUCUGAGAAGGACCAAUGUAAACAUCUGCCAUAUCAUGAAAUUGCCUAAGAGUCUAGCUAUGAUUUGUGGCAUUGAGGCUGAUGAAGCAGGCUUUGUUGGAGUAUGCCUUACAACAACGGGCUCUGUCUCCACAUGUGCGUACGUAGCGGACACGGACGAUCGCAUUGUCUUAAGCGCGAUGGGGUGGAGGGACUUUCUCGUUGGCAAGAAUCUGCACGAUGGACAAGCUAUCAUAGGUACUAUCAGGAAAACCACACGCCAUGACUUGAGGAUGAUGAUCGUCAUCGACAUCAUUUAA